This 235-nucleotide ribosomal RNA is filed under the name uncultured bacterium. RNAcentral's name for it is "partial 16S ribosomal RNA". It matches the Rfam family "Bacterial small subunit ribosomal RNA", at positions 99 to 334 of the family's 1533-position model. The record is from RNAcentral.
CGGACGGGUGAGUAACGCGUGGGUAACCUGCCUCACACUGGGGGAUAACAGUUAGAAAUAGCUGCUAAUACCGCAUAAGCGCACAGUUCCGCAUGGAACAGUGUGAAAAACUCCGGUGGUGUGAGAUGGACCCGCGUCUGAUUAGCCAGUUGGCGGGGUAACGGCCCACCAAAGCGACGAUCAGUAGCCGGCCUGAGAGGGUGAACGGCCGCAUUGGGACUGAGACACGGCCCAA